AGAGAAGUAUGGAGAGGUUUUGGAUGCAGCCUGCUUAUUCUGAGAAACACUGCCUGUAUGGUCGCCAGGAGUCGGGAUCAACUUGACUGCACAAUAAUAGUUUGGAUCAACAUAAACUUAAUAAGACAAACUACAGGCUUGGAGGUUAGGGAACCAGCCUUGUACCGGAAAGUCGCUGGUCAAGAUCCCUUGAGCUGAGACUGAGAUGCCCGCGAGCAAGACACCAACCCCCCAACUGCUCCCCCAGCACUGCGGAUAGGGCUGCCCACCGCCCUGGGAAAGUGUGCUCACUGCCCCCUAAUGUGUGUCUUCACUAGCGUGUACGUAGUGUUUCACUACACGGAUGGGUUAGAUUGCGUAGGUGAAAUUUCCCCAUUGUGGGACUAAUAAGGUCUCUUAAUCUAUCGAGCAGUGGAGCUUAUUUCUGUAUUGUUAUACACUGACAUUGAAUAUCUCUUCAGAACCCACAGAACAGUUACUGGAUUAUUUCACAAUAUUUACUUACCAUGUCAUAUAGUUGCUACAAACAUAAGAAGAACUGGCUGUAAAAAAUGCCCUGUCUAAUCAUCUAAAACACACACACACACACACACGGAAGAUAAUAAACAAGAAAACUAUUUGUUUAUUUACCACAUUUACUUGAAAACAGUGAUUUGCAUUUUGUUUGUGGAAAGUGUCUACACAGUUAACAAGAACCAUCCAUGUGGCUCUGAAAAUGUAUUAAAAAUAAGCAUUUAAAAUAACUAAUAUAA
Molecule: long non-coding RNA, 752 nt
Organism: Pygocentrus nattereri (red-bellied piranha)
Lineage: Eukaryota; Metazoa; Chordata; Actinopteri; Characiformes; Serrasalmidae
Exons: 2
Source: RefSeq, a predicted model, not a curated record